Molecule: transfer RNA, 30 nt
Filed under: Streptanthus carinatus
Lineage: Eukaryota; Viridiplantae; Streptophyta; Magnoliopsida; Brassicales; Brassicaceae
Description: partial tRNA-His
Source: RNAcentral
GGCGGUUGUACCCAAGGGGAUAAAGGCGGG